RNAcentral lists this long non-coding RNA (427 nucleotides) under Brassica rapa (field mustard). RNAcentral's name for it is "long non-coding RNA (BRAP_LNC000068)". The record is from RNAcentral. Lineage: Eukaryota; Viridiplantae; Streptophyta; Magnoliopsida; Brassicales; Brassicaceae.
UCGAAUGAUCGGAGAUUGUUGAAUUUUCUUUCCAAAGUCAAGAUCAAAAUGGAUCCGAUCAAAAUGGAGAGUUAGUCAAAGGAUCAAAUGGCAUCUUCAAUUAGAGAAGACUAUUCAAAUCAUGCAAGGUGGUGACCAUCUAUCUGCGUGUAAGGUUAGCUACCUGAGCUCAGUAAUUAGUUUUCUCCUCAAACUUAACUUUGUAAUAAUCAUGAUAGCAAACAGUUAAUAAUCAGCUUAAGCAUAAACCCUUCGAAUAUACUUCCGAGUUCCUGUUUUGUAGACUAUAAACAAGGUUUGAGUUGAAACGAUCUUAUGCAGAUUAAAGAACAUCCAUCUACUGGUCAACCACUAAUUCGAUCUUCUUCUUUCAAACCUUUUUCAUUUGUACAAUCUUAUGCAGAUUUGUUCAUGUAAUCAAAUUGGC